Molecule: long non-coding RNA, 222 nt
Filed under: Vicia faba (fava bean)
Lineage: Eukaryota; Viridiplantae; Streptophyta; Magnoliopsida; Fabales; Fabaceae
Source: RNAcentral
AUGGAGAACACCCGGCAGCUCUCCAACGCCAUACGAGGAAACCAGGGAGUGAAGAUAGAAGAUGAAGAUGAAGGGGAGGGAAGAAGGAAGAUGUUUAUGGAAAUUCUUCUUGAAAUUCCAAGCUUGGAUGAAUUGCAUGCAGGGCAGCACCAAGAACUAUUGCUUCAUCAGCAUCAAGAUGCCAAUCAAGUUAUUUUCUACCAAGGAACUCUUGAAGCUUAG